AGAGUUUGAUCAUGGCUCAGGAUGAACGCUAGCUACAGGCUUAACACAUGCAAGUCGAGGGGAAACGACAUCGAAAGCUUGCUUUUGAUGGGCGUCGACCGGCGCACGGGUGAGUAACGCGUAUCCAACCUGCCCACCACUUGGGGAUAACCUUGCGAAAGUAAGACUAAUACCCAAUGACGUCUCUAGAAGACAUCUGAAAGAGAUUAAAGAUUUAUCGGUGAUGGAUGGGGAUGCGUCUGAUUAGCUUGUUGGCGGGGUAACGGCCGACCAAGGCGACGAUCAGUAGGGGUUCUGAGAGGAAGGUCCCCCANACUUGGAACUGAGACACGGUCCAAACUCCUACGGGAGCGA
This 354-nucleotide ribosomal RNA is filed under the name uncultured bacterium. RNAcentral describes it as "bacterial SSU rRNA". It matches the Rfam family "Bacterial small subunit ribosomal RNA", at positions 8 to 350 of the family's 1533-position model. The record is from RNAcentral.